This is a long non-coding RNA of Arvicanthis niloticus (Nile rat), 1426 nucleotides long. RefSeq lists it as uncharacterized. The record is from RefSeq and is a predicted model, not a curated record. NCBI's taxonomy places the organism in Eukaryota, Metazoa, Chordata, Mammalia, Rodentia, Muridae.
CUUCGGAAACAAAGGCCUGCUCAUCUGUGAGGCACUGUGAACAGUGGGCAGCACUGAAGGCUAUAGCAGGGACUGAUGUGGUGAGGACCCGGAACCCAGUGAAGGAACCAUUUCCUGCAUCUGCCCCAAACAGGUACCCCAGGACAAGCGGCCUGCCAGUUUAAAAAGAAGAACCAUUUCACUGUCAAAGUCUAGGAGAGACGAACGUUGAUGGACUCGUUUCCAACAAGAGAAAAAGAAAGCUGUCAAGGGGCUAAACUCAGUGAAUGGAUAGAAAAGAGAGGGAUUCCAACUCUCUCUCACUUGGUGAAAAGUGGCAAGCAGCUGACACAGGCAAAGAAGGCCUCUAACCAGAAGACUUCAGAUUCCUGCUGCCUGUGCUCUAAAGUCCCCAGGUGCUUCCUGGUGAAGGCAGGAGUCCCAGAGAGAGAAAUCAUGACAGGAGCCUGCCAGGCCAGUCGUCUCUUACAUCUGAAUAUGUUUUGAAAUGGGAACAAAGAUCACCACAAAAAAACCCGAGUCUUCCACAUCCAAGCUGGCUUUGAGGUUUGAUCUCAAAUUGGAGCCUUUCAAGUUAUUUCACAUUUGGCCAAAUAGGGUUCUUCAGUUUCUUACUUUUCCUCCUUUUCUUAUGAAAGAAUGCCGAUCUAAAAAGCUCCUGGGCACUAGUGGGUUCUGAGGAAACCACACUGCAGCCUGCUCUGUGACUGGAUCCGUCACUAAUUACAUCUCUAUCUUACCCAGUGAGCUGAGCCAUGGACAGGCACAGGGAUCAUUCUGGGUAUUGUGAUUCUGAGAACCAGUCAGCUUUGCCUCUCUCCUGCCAUAAAUGUCAGGCCUGAGGCCGAGACAGCCUUGACCACACGGGCAGCUACUGCUGAAAUCAUCGUAAGACGAGGCUUCUACUGCAGUGGUCUCAACUCCCAAAGACCAUUUACGCUAUGAUUCGUAACAGUAGCAAAAUCACACUUAUAAAGUAGCAACGGCUGGAAACCCCUAAAACACGAGGAACUGUAUUAAAGGGCCACAGCUUUAGAAAGGUUGAGAACCGCUGCUCUAGGCUCCUUCGUGUGGGAAAUCAAAUGGAAAAGCACACCAACCUCUCUGGAGAUGGCCCACCCAGCGGCAAGUAACUCACUAGCCCCCCUCUCUCAACAGUCUCUGAGCCAGAAAGGCCUCACUCUGGAAGCCCUUUGCCCAGCUUCAGAGCAGGCAGCAGGCACUCCAGAUAACUGAGAGGUGGGGUUAACUCUCCGUCUAACUUCCACCUGUAGGCAGCAUGAGUCUCACCAAGAGCAGCAGGAGCUACGGGAGCCCCAUAGCAGCAGAGAUCUUCACUAACUUGUCUCUGGGUCUUGCAGACUCCAGUGCAGCUAAGCAUAAAACCGUUUGCUAGAUGAAUGUAUGAAUCUCACAGGCACUUAAU